Molecule: ribosomal RNA, 420 nt
Filed under: uncultured bacterium
Lineage: Bacteria
Description: bacterial SSU rRNA
Rfam family: Bacterial small subunit ribosomal RNA
Source: RNAcentral
UAAGGAAUAUUGCUCAAUGGGAGAAAUCCUGAAGCAGCAACGCCGCGUGGAGGAUGAAGGGUCUAUGACUUGUAAACUCCUGUAAAGAAGGAAAAAAUUCCCAUUUGAUGGGAGAUGAUGGUACUUCUGGAGUAAGCCCCGGCUAACUACGUGCCAGCAGCCGCGGUAAUACGUAGGGGGCAAGCGUUGUCCGGAUUUACUGGGUGUAAAGGGUGCUCAGGCGGAUUUGUAAGUCAGAGGUGAAAUCUUACAGCUAAACUGUGAAACUGCCUUUGAUACUGCAAGCCUAGAGUAUGGAAGAGAGUGAUGGAAUAUCUGGUGUAGCAGUGAAAUGCGUAGAUAUCAGAUAGAACACCAAUGGCGAAGGCAGUCACUUGGUCCAUUACUGACGCUAAAGCACGAAAGCGUGGGUAGCAAACA